Molecule: ribosomal RNA, 253 nt
Filed under: uncultured bacterium
Lineage: Bacteria
Description: partial 16S ribosomal RNA
Rfam family: Archaeal small subunit ribosomal RNA
Source: RNAcentral
UACCAGCACCCCGAGUGGUCGGGACGAUUAUUGGGCCUAAAGCAUCCGUAGCCGGUCUUGCAAGUCUUCCGUUAAAUCCAGCUGCUUAACAGAUGGGCUGCGGAAGAUACUACAAGACUAGGAGGUGGGAGAGGCAAGCGGUACUCAGUGGGUAGGGGUAAAAUCCUCCGAUCCAUUGAAGACCACCAGUGGCGAAGGCGGCUUGCCAGAACGCGCUCGACGGUGAGGGAUGAAAGCUGGGGGAGCAAACCGG